UGCAUAAGUAUCACCCAAUUGCAUAUAACCAGCAAAUUUGGCAAGGGCAUGUUCUUGUCCUUCUUCAACCACCGGAAUUUCUAAAGAGUGCUCUAUCAGUGGAAUGGCAUCAUCAUACUGGCCCAGAUUACAGUAUAUCGCUGCAGUUACAUGCAGACACAUGACCACAUCUAAACUAGGUUUUCCAUUGGCACAUUUCUCAAAUGACUUCGCUGCUCGAUGAGCCAAUUCAAGAGCUUUAUGGGAAUUAUCCCCAGAAGCUAUCAAAUCUCUUGCUUGCUUAAGCAGGAAGGGGCCAAGGUCAGGAUUGUCUAAACCUGAAUCAGAUGAGUCCUCAGUUCCAUUCUUCAAUUUUGAUCCUGAAGCAGGCGAACUCUUCUGCCUACUCCUUGAGGUACCUCCCACAACUACCUUCUUCGUGUUAUUUCCAUUUUUCUUAUCAAGGGAAGCUCUCCUACCCUUAGAAUUUGAUUUUGCUGAAGUUUCUGAUUCCAACUCCAAUUGAGA
This 507-nucleotide unclassified non-coding RNA is filed under the name Hevea brasiliensis (rubber tree). The record is from RNAcentral. Lineage: Eukaryota; Viridiplantae; Streptophyta; Magnoliopsida; Malpighiales; Euphorbiaceae.